AUUUAACGCUGGCGGCAUGCUUUACACAUGCAAGUCGAACGGUAACAGGCCGCAAGGUGCUGACGAGUGGCGAACGGGUGAGUAAUGCAUCGGUACGUGCCCAGUCGUGGGGGAUAACGCAGAUAAAGCUGUGCUAAUACCCCAUACGAUCUAUGGAUGCAAGCGGGGGACCGUAAGGCCCCGCGCGAUUGGAGCGGCCGAUGGCAGAUUAGGUAGUUGGUGGGGUAAAGGCACACAAAGCCAACGAUCUGUAGCUGGUCUGAGAGGACGAACAGCCACACUGGGACUGAGACACGGCCCAGACUACUACGGGAGGCAGCAGUGGGGAAUUUUGGACAAUGGGCGCAAGCCUGAUCCAGCAAUGCCGCGUGCAGGAAGAAGGCCUUCGGGUUGUAAACUGCUUUUGUACGGAACGAAACGGCGAGCUCUAAUACAGUUUGCUAAUGACGGUACCGUAAGAAUAAGCACCGGCUAACUACGUGCCAGCAGCCGCAGUAA
Molecule: ribosomal RNA, 498 nt
Filed under: uncultured bacterium
Lineage: Bacteria
Description: partial 16S ribosomal RNA
Rfam family: Bacterial small subunit ribosomal RNA
Source: RNAcentral